AGUGAACGCUGGCGGUAGGCCUAACACAUGCAAGUCGAACGGCAGCACAGUAAGAGCUUGCUCUUACGGGUGGCGAGUGGCGGACGGGUGGGGAAUACAUCGGAAUCUACUUUUUCGUGGGGGAUAACGUAGGGAAACUUACGCUAAUACCGCAUACGACCUACGGGUGAAAGCAGGGGAUCUUCGGACCUUGCGCGAUUGAAUGAGCCGAUGUCGGAUUAGCUAGUUGGCGGGGUAAAGGCCCACCAAGGCGACGAUCCGUAGCUGGUCUGAGAGGAUGAUCAGCCACACUGGAACUGAGACACGGUCCAGACUCCUACGGGAGGCAGCAGUGGGGAAUAUUGGACAAUGGGCGCAAGCCUGAUCCAGCCAUACCGCGUGGGUGAAGAAGGCCUUCGGGUUGUAAAGCCCUUUUGUUGGGAAAGAAAAGCAGCAGGUUAAGACCCCGCUGUUCUGACGGUACCCAAAGAAUAAGCACCGGCUAACUUCGU
This 491-nucleotide ribosomal RNA is filed under the name uncultured bacterium. RNAcentral describes it as "partial 16S ribosomal RNA". It matches the Rfam family "Bacterial small subunit ribosomal RNA", at positions 29 to 506 of the family's 1533-position model. The record is from RNAcentral.